This 489-nucleotide ribosomal RNA is filed under the name uncultured bacterium. Its description in RNAcentral is "partial 16S ribosomal RNA". It matches the Rfam family "Bacterial small subunit ribosomal RNA", at positions 30 to 507 of the family's 1533-position model. The record is from RNAcentral.
UUGCACGCUGGCGGCAGGCCUAACCCAUGCCAGUCGAACGGUAACAGAAAGCAGCUUGCUGCUUUGCUGACGAGUGGCGGACGGGUGAGUAAUGUCUGGGAAACUGCCUGAUGGAGGGGGAUAACUACUGGAAACGGUAGCUAAUACCGCAUAACGUCGCAAGACCAAAGAGGGGGACCUUCGGGCCUCUUGCCAUCGGAUGUGCCCAGAUGGGAUUAGCUUGUUGGUGGGGUAACGGCUCACCAAGGCGACGAUCCCUAGCUGGUCUGAGAGGAUGACCAGCCACACUGGAACUGAGACACGGUCCAGACUCCUACGGGAGGCAGCAGUGGGGAAUAUUGCACAAUGGGCGCAAGCCUGAUGCAGCCAUGCCGCGUGUAUGAAGAAGGCCUUCGGGUUGUAAAGUACUUUCAGCGGGGAGGAAGGGAGUAAAGUUAAUACCUUUGCUCAUUGACGUUACCCGCAGAAGAAGCACCGGCUAACUCCGUG